AAUCACCUCAUAUCUACUUGA
This 21-nucleotide small nuclear RNA is filed under the name Arabidopsis thaliana (thale cress). Its description in RNAcentral is "snRNA_08071". Lineage: Eukaryota; Viridiplantae; Streptophyta; Magnoliopsida; Brassicales; Brassicaceae. The record is from RNAcentral.